This 385-nucleotide long non-coding RNA is filed under the name Cicer arietinum (chickpea). RNAcentral describes it as "long non-coding RNA (CARI_LNC001442)". Lineage: Eukaryota; Viridiplantae; Streptophyta; Magnoliopsida; Fabales; Fabaceae. The record is from RNAcentral.
UCAAAUUUAAAUUUCACUAAAUCGCACAUAAUCACAUUAAAUUCAUUUUCUACAAAUUCACACAUCAAAUACAUCAAAUUUCUUUUUCACAAAAUCACAAAUAAUGUCCUAAAUGCAAACUAAAAGUUUGGAAGGAGCCCUUAUCUCCGUUGUAGCUUUAACGAUCGACUACGGUACCGCGAUUAAUUUCGGUGAAAACUGCGCUUGCGUCGUCGCUUCCAAAGUUGGCUCACUAGCACCGUAGCGUGGAGAUGAACAACUUUCUCUUCUGUCACUUCUCGAAUCGAAGCUUAGAUCUAGGAGAAAAGUGAAGAUUUUUGUGUUCGUUGGUUUUGAAAGCAAAGAAAAUUUGGAAAACAGAUAAGGAGAAAGAAGAAGAUGGAAG